UACAACCAUAUCACAAUGGAAAGCCAGUUCUCAUAUGAUCACUGAAGUUAAGCAACAUCAAGUUUGGUCAGUACCUAGAUGAGUGACUGCUUGGAAAUACCAAGUGCUGUAA
Molecule: non-coding RNA, 112 nt
Organism: Acanthosepion pharaonis
Lineage: Eukaryota; Metazoa; Mollusca; Cephalopoda; Sepiida; Sepiidae
Source: the annotation of a GenBank genome assembly